ACUUAGUUUGAGAUAAAGAGAGAAAGAUCAGGAAUGAAAACAGAAACAGGUGUGCUAUUGCAAAGAAAAUACAUGGUUGCCCAACCUGAGAGAAGUGCAGGAGAAAGGGAGAGUGAGAGUGGGAGACCGCAGGAUAGAGAUGGUGGAAAAAUGCCAGGCAUACACACAAGGAAUGGGGAUCAGAGUAUAAAUGAGAUGGUUGAGUAAAGGAAGAGAGAGAUAUAGAUGGUGGCAAGUACCAGGACAUAUCCUUGAGGUUCAAAUACCAUAAUAUAAGUGACAGGAUAUUGUGAAGGGAGUGAGAUUAAAGAGUGCAAGUAAGUGGCAAAAGACCUGGGUAUAUAUAGAGUUGGAGUGGCUACAGGGUAGCAGCAAUACAGAGGAACAGGAGUGUGAGGAUAGGAUUGGGGAGUGAGAGCUAGGCAUAGUUUAUGAAGGAGGAAAUGCGAGAAAGAGAUGUUGAUUGGUUUGUUGGGGUAGGGUGAGGGAAAGUUUUCUUGUUAUGCAUGUAUGUAUAUGUGUGUGUGUGUGUGUCUGUGUUUGUUCCCCACCAUCACUUGACAACUGAUGUU
This is a long non-coding RNA of Octopus sinensis (East Asian common octopus), 572 nucleotides long. RefSeq lists it as uncharacterized. Lineage: Eukaryota; Metazoa; Mollusca; Cephalopoda; Octopoda; Octopodidae. The transcript is spliced from 3 exons. The record is from RefSeq and is a predicted model, not a curated record.